This 1406-nucleotide long non-coding RNA is filed under the name Olea europaea subsp. europaea. Lineage: Eukaryota; Viridiplantae; Streptophyta; Magnoliopsida; Lamiales; Oleaceae. The record is from RNAcentral.
GAGCACGUGUGUGUUGAUGAAUCCAUUAUGUUGAUUUUUCCGUAGACAGUGAUGACCUUUGAGAGUAAGGGUGAGAAAAGAUCAGGGGGCAGUUAAAUAUAAGAUAAAGAAUGAGGUUCAAGUCAAACUUUGUGAAGCUAGAAAAGGGGGAAAAAGGGUAAUGUAAUCACAAAGCUGACUUCUAUUUAUCUCCAAUCAUUUUGGGUCCUGGCUUGUUGCUAUUUACAAAGAAUAUUCCUCACUUUUCAAGUAAGAGUAAGGCUUUCCUUCAUAUCAACUAUCUCUUUGUUCUUGUAUUGGUAUCACUCUCACUAUUAUGGCUUUAGAUUUUGUUCAUUAACGACUUCAUUGUAUUUUGGGUUGCUUUAAUUGCUAUACUGCUAUAAGGGCGGAGGUGGAUGAAAGAGUAAAUAGAUUAUCAUUUAAGAUUCGAUUGGACAAUGGUGAGAAAGGGCUAGGUAUUAUCAUACAUCAGCGAGCAGUUGAAUGUACAAUUAAGAAUGAGAUUGAAGUCAAACUUUGUGAAAUAUAAAUGUUUUUGAAAAUUAUAGGUAACGUAAAGCACAAAGUUGACUCAUAAUUCUCUCCAAUCAUUUGGAUCCUGGCUUGUUGCUAGUCACACCACGUGGCAAUCAUUUACAAAAAAUAUUCCUCAACCUCCAAGUAAUCAUUAUCAUUCCUUCAUAACGUCUAACUCACUUUCCAAGUAAGCAUAAGGCUUUCCUUCAUAUCAACUAUCUCUUUGUUCUUGUAUUGGUAUCACUCUCACUAUUGUGGCUUCAGAUUUUGUUCAUUAACGACUUCAUUGUAUUUUGGGUUGCUUUAAUUGCUGUACUGCUAUAAGGGCGGAGGUGGAUAAAAGAGUAAAUAGAUUUUCAUUUAAGAUUCGAUUGGACAAUGGUGAGAAAGGGCUAGGUAUUAUCAUCAGCGAGCAGUUGAAUGUACAAUUAAGAAUGAGAUUGAAGUCAAACUUUGUGAAGUAUAAAUGUUUUUGAAAAAUAUAGAUAACGUAAAGCACAAAGUUGACUCAUAAUUCUCUCCAAUCAUUUGGAUGAUGGCUUGUUGCUAGUCACACCACGUGGCAAUCAUUUACAAAAAAUAUUCCUCAACCUUCAAGUAAUCAUUGUCAUUCCUUCAUAUCGUCUAACUCACUUUCCAAGUAAGCAUAAGGCUUUCCUUCAUAUCAACUAUCUCAUUGUUCUUGUAUUGGUAUCACUCUCACUAUUAUGGCUUCAGAUUUGGUUCAUUAACGACUUCAUUGUAUUUUGGGUUGCUUUAAUUGCUAUACCGCUAUAAGGGCGGAGGUGCAUAAAAGAGUAUGAUGUAGGGAGAUUACUGAAUUAGUAAAUAACAAGAAGGGAAGGGGAGGAGAAGAGAAGAAGAAGGCAGAGGCGGGGAGAGAGGAG